AGUAUUAUGUCUGAUUAAAGUGAUAAAUUGUAAAUUUAUUAAAGAAAAUUUUAUUUUCUAGUACUA
This 66-nucleotide transfer RNA is filed under the name Pheidole hyatti. RNAcentral describes it as "tRNA-Tyr". The record is from RNAcentral. Lineage: Eukaryota; Metazoa; Arthropoda; Insecta; Hymenoptera; Formicidae.